CACCGCGGUUAUACGAAAGGCCCAAGUUGAUAGUCAACGGCGUAAAGGGUGGUUAGAGAAAAUUUUACACUAAAGCCGAACGCCCUCCGGGCCGUUGUACGCAUACCGAGGGUGAGAAGCCCAACCACGAAGGUGGCUUUAUUAAUCUUGAAUCCACGAAAGCUAAGGCA
Molecule: ribosomal RNA, 170 nt
Filed under: Chrysochir aurea (Reeve's croaker)
Lineage: Eukaryota; Metazoa; Chordata; Actinopteri; Sciaenidae
Description: partial small subunit ribosomal RNA
Source: RNAcentral